GUCCUCCCGUGCGUUCCUUUUCAAUCGUUGGCACAAGAGUUGCUUUAGCCUUGCCUUGGCCGAGUGGCUGGUUUCCUGUGUUGCAUACCUACAUUGAUGGAAUUCGUUGGCCGACCCUCCCCACGUUCGCCCAUGCUGCCCGUUAGCGCGGUGCGGCUUCGGGUGAACAUUAAAGUGAAAUUCGUGUUCCGAAUUACAUGCGCCUUGCCUCGUAAUCACGGCCCACGAUAUUCGUAGACCCUUGGGAUGCAGAAAACGCUGCGGGUUGGGGUCCUCGACCUCUAUUUGCCCAAAAGUUGGCAUUACAUGCCCGAUUCGAAUGACGCUCGGUGUGGUAUGGAUGUUUCGCAUCUUGCGACCCGAUGUCUCURAGGAAUGCUACCUGGUUGAUCCUGCCAGUAGUCAUAUGCUUGUCUCAAAGA
Molecule: unclassified non-coding RNA, 422 nt
Filed under: Eumachia forsteriana
Lineage: Eukaryota; Viridiplantae; Streptophyta; Magnoliopsida; Gentianales; Rubiaceae
Description: Psychotria forsteriana partial external transcribed spacer
Source: RNAcentral